RNAcentral lists this ribosomal RNA (398 nucleotides) under uncultured bacterium. RNAcentral's name for it is "bacterial SSU rRNA". It matches the Rfam family "Bacterial small subunit ribosomal RNA", at positions 521 to 916 of the family's 1533-position model. The record is from RNAcentral.
UAAUACGUAGGGCGCAAGCGUUAUCCGGAAUUAUUGGGCGUAAAGAGCUCGUAGGCGGUUUGUCGCGUCUGCCGUGAAAGUCCGGGGCUCAACUCCGGAUCUGCGGUGGGUACGGGCAGACUAGAGUGAUGUAGGGGAGACUGGAAUUCCUGGUGUAGCGGUGAAAUGCGCAGAUAUCAGGAGGAACACCGAUGGCGAAGGCAGGUCUCUGGGCAUUAACUGACGCUGAGGAGCGAAAGCAUGGGGAGCGAACAGGAUUAGAUACCCUGGUAGUCCAUGCCGUAAACGUUGGGCACUAGGUGUGGGGGACAUUCCACGUUUUCCGCGCCGUAGCUAACGCAUUAAGUGCCCCGCCUGGGGAGUACGGCCGCAAGGCUAAAACUUAAAUGAAUUGACGG